CGCACGACUCUCGGCAACGGAUAUCUCGGUUCUCGCAUCGAUGAAGAACGUAGCGAAAUGCGAUACCUGGUGUGAAUUGCAGAAUCCCGCGAACCAUCGAGUCUUUGAAUGCAAGUUGCGCCCGAGGCCACACGGUCGAGGGCACGCCUGCCUGGGCGUCACGC
Molecule: ribosomal RNA, 164 nt
Filed under: Desmoncus orthacanthos
Lineage: Eukaryota; Viridiplantae; Streptophyta; Magnoliopsida; Arecales; Arecaceae
Description: 5.8S ribosomal RNA
Rfam family: 5.8S ribosomal RNA
About the family: 5.8S ribosomal RNA (5.8S rRNA) is a component of the large subunit of the eukaryotic ribosome.
Source: RNAcentral